GUAGGGAAUAUUGCGCAAUGGACGCAAGUCUGACGCAGCAACGCCGCGUGAGUGAAGAAGGCCUUAGGGUUGUAAAGCUCUGUCAUACGGGACGAACAACCAGCAGGUGAAUAGCCUGUUGGUCUGACGGUACCGUAGAAGGAAGCACCGGCUAACUCUGUGCCAGCAGCCGCGGUAAUACAGAGGGUGCAAGCGUUGCUCGGAAUUAUUGGGCGUAAAGGGUAGGUAGGUUGUCUCAUUUGUCCGGUGUGAAAUCCUUGGGCUUAACCCAAGAAGUGCAUCGGAAACGGUGGGACUGGAGUCUCGGAGAGGGUCGUGGAAUUCCCGGUGUAGCGGUGAAAUGCGUAGAGAUCGGGAGGAACACCAGUGGCGAAGGCGGCGACCUGGACGAGUACUGACACUCAACUACGAAAGCGUGGGGAGCAAACAGGAUUAGAAACCCGUGUAGUCC
Molecule: ribosomal RNA, 451 nt
Filed under: uncultured bacterium
Lineage: Bacteria
Description: bacterial SSU rRNA
Rfam family: Bacterial small subunit ribosomal RNA
Source: RNAcentral